Long non-coding RNA from Perognathus longimembris pacificus (Pacific pocket mouse), 483 nucleotides. RefSeq lists it as uncharacterized. NCBI's taxonomy places the organism in Eukaryota, Metazoa, Chordata, Mammalia, Rodentia, Heteromyidae. The record is from RefSeq and is a predicted model, not a curated record. The transcript is spliced from 2 exons.
GCAACACCAAGUCACUAGGACAGUCACCUGAGAAACAGGACACAGAUGACCCGGAAGUGGACUUGAGCUCUGAACAGCUAGCUGCUGAGUUUUGAACAGAACUUCAGGAAAGUUGUGCGCUCUGGUGAGUUGGUGGGCUGAGAAGACUGGGUAGGCUGAGGGUGGCGGUGGAAUGGAAUGGAACAUUCCUCCUGUUAUCUUGGAGGGAGGGUUUGGAGUAGAAAGGAAUCCUGCCUUUGCUGCCAACUUGGAUCAUAGACUCUCAAACUGGGAAUUGUGUUGGAAGAGAAUCUUGUUACUGAGGUUCUCAUUAUCCAGCUGAAGAGAUGAGACAAGUGUGGGGUGGGAGGGGAGUGACUUCCCUGAGGCCAGGUGGCCCCUGGUGAGCCCAGACUACAAUCUGCCACCUUUACCCCUUCCUGGUUUGAUCACCUCUAGCUCAGUAAGCAAGGAGUGGCCCUCUAAAGGUUUUUAACUUAAAUU